UGAAGAAAGAUGGUAAGCGUAAAUAUAACUGAUAAAAGUAAUGACUUAGUAUAAACCACCAAAAUCUUAGAAACCAAGUACAAAUCGUGUUAGCCAUUUUAUCGAUGGUACAUUAUAUAGUUUCAUAUACGAAACAUUCGAUUUAUCGUUAAAAUCUUUCACAUACUAUUUUCUUUAAUUAUACUAAUAUUACACGUUGUAUUUGUAGUACCAUUUAAUUAAGAAAAUUCUAGCCGAUCGAACAAAUAAAAAAUUUCAUUUCGGAUAUUCACUCGAUAAAAUUUGUUUAAAACGAAUAAAAUUUCAUCACUCGCGUACCAGCGCGUACUCAAUAUCAAUCUGAUGUUUCCAAUUGUUUUAAAAUCUGUUGCGUGAUCAAUUUAGUAGCCUCACUCGCAUUAGGAAUAAGAAAUUUAUCCAUAUCUGAAAUAACCGUAUCGUUAUAUUCCGUUGUACCGUAUUUAAAUGUAAUCAAAUCCGAGUGUUUCCUUCUAGAUGUUAUUUUUAUGACACUCGUCAACGGACGUUUUACAAUUACAUGUGCUGCACCUUUCCUUUCUUGUAUUUCCCGAAGUACUAUAAGGGCUUGUUUCAUUCGAAUUUGUCUCCGAAAUAUUAGCACUGCAUACUAAACAGUGCUGUGAAUUAUGAUCAACAAGACUAGAAACGACUUCAUCACCAAAGUAUUCGUGUAUGGCUGAAAUAAUACGGCAAAAUAAUUAUUUUGAAUCAAAUAUUUUAAAUGAAUAUAAUAUAAUAACUACCUUGAUAUCCUGAUGUGACCAUACUAACAUAUUGGGUAUGUUUCUGUAAAAAAG
RNAcentral lists this unclassified non-coding RNA (818 nucleotides) under Bombus terrestris (buff-tailed bumblebee). RNAcentral describes it as "misc RNA ENSBTSG00005034817.1". The record is from RNAcentral. Lineage: Eukaryota; Metazoa; Arthropoda; Insecta; Hymenoptera; Apidae.